UGAGUGUGAAAGAUAAUCGCGGCUGGCCUAGAGCCAGGUGAGGAAAGUCCGAGCUCCAUAGGGCAGGAUGCUGGAUAACGUCCAGCGAGGGAAACCUUAGGGCUAGUGCCACAGAAAUGAGGACCGCCUACUUUUGUAGGUAAGGGUGGAACGGUGCGGUAAGAGCGCACCAGCAGUCUGGUGACAGGCUGGCUAGGUAAACCCCAUCCGGAGCAAGACCAAAUAGGGGAGGGAUGAUGUUGCCCGCUGAGCCUCCCGGGUUGCGUCGCUUGAACUUGGCAGUAAUGUCAAGUCUAGAUAAAUGAUUAUCACCUCGUAAGAGGAACAGAACUCGGCUUAUUGAUCACUCAUCUU
RNAcentral lists this RNase P RNA (354 nucleotides) under Phascolarctobacterium sp. RNAcentral describes it as "RNase P RNA component class A". It matches the Rfam family "Bacterial RNase P class A". From Rfam's summary of the family: Ribonuclease P (RNase P) is a ubiquitous endoribonuclease, found in archaea, bacteria and eukarya as well as chloroplasts and mitochondria. Its best characterised activity is the generation of mature 5'-ends of tRNAs by cleaving the 5'-leader elements of precursor-tRNAs. Lineage: Bacteria; Bacillati; Bacillota; Negativicutes; Acidaminococcales; Acidaminococcaceae. The record is from RNAcentral.